Long non-coding RNA from Ooceraea biroi (clonal raider ant), 27683 nucleotides. RefSeq lists it as uncharacterized. The record is from RefSeq and is a predicted model, not a curated record. NCBI's taxonomy places the organism in Eukaryota, Metazoa, Arthropoda, Insecta, Hymenoptera, Formicidae.
UGGCGGCCGGGGUUGGCCCCAGUAGCACAGUCGCGCGGCAAACUCCCGUAAGAAAGCACGUAGUCGGCGGUUCGAGACGCGCUCUCGUGCGAUCUGCACCCCCGUCCGACAAUGGACGGAUUUUUUUCCAACCCCCUCGACGAGUUCGAGAGUUCGGGCCGCUGACCCGCCACCCCCGUCGCCGCGCACUCUCCCACACACCGAGGGGGAUGUCGUACUUUCCCUGUGACUAUCGUUGGAGCCGGAUUUUCCGCGAGACGCGACGUCGGGGUUUUUCCUGAAGAAAUCGUGGCUCGGACAAACGAGAGGAACGAGAGAUGGAGCGAGAGGGAGAAUGGACUUGGCAGGUAAACAGCGAUCCAUUAUUAAAUGUUACUCGUUGGGAAGUAAAGAUGUCAAUUUCGAGACAUCGAUCUCGAUGGAAUCCACUGGAACACGAUGUGUUAUACAGUCAACAGCUGUGCGCAAAUGUUCAUUUGAUUGCUAGCUGUUCGACACAAGUGCGUGUAAUUUUCGAACCUGAUCUGUCAAUGGUGCACAAGUCGUACCCAAUUUUAAUAGCAGGCGAUAUUUUCAGCAAUAGUAUUUACAACGCUAUUAAUUGCACGUUAAUUAUUCUGCUGAAAAAAAAUCCGAGCAAUAAAGAGGAUCAAUGCGGAGCACUUAAGCAAUAAUCCAAUUAAGAUGAUGGAAAUUUCACGAGCUUUCACGGUGCGCGCGGUACGCUAAAAGAUACUCCAGCGAGUUCUAGUCUAUUCGAAAGACAGUUAUGUUGCUGGAUUGCCGAAGAUUAAAUUCACUUGAUGGCAAUCAGAGAUUAAAUUUACUUAGGCAAUUGACGAUAUUUGGCGGAGUAUUUUUCUACGAAACGAUCCGCUGAGAUUUUGAGAAGCGUUGUCGAGGAACGGGCAUCAACGUGCGCGGUCUUACGAGACUGAACACGAGGUGAUCGUGUUCGUUGUGAAUUUGUCGGCGAUGUUUAUGUCUGCGUUUUGCAGCGUCGCAUUUUGUGUGACUGGCGCUUGACAUAAUGCAAAAGUUCCCGAAUGGCGCCAGAUGCGUCUCGCCUGCAAGUGAGAAAAACACGCCAACUGUCUCACCCACACCGUUGCUCGUUACUGAAAGUAGUCUAAUUUACCAGAGUGUCUCCUUGCGCGACACAUCGGCGCGAGACGUAUCUUCUCAGAAUCUCAGAACGCAACACGAUGUCGCGCAAAUGUUUUCUGAUUAGCGGUAAUUUCCCUUCUCGUAAUUUAUUUUAAUACUGACGGACAUUCCACGCCGCGGGAUAUCGCAAUAUAUACAAUGCGCUACAAAAUUUCAUGUACAAUAAUGAUAUCAAAUUUGUGUUUACGAAUCAUAUUACCGUCGUUCCAAAUAAUUCUAAGCGAUAUUAAUUACCAAACGUAUCAUGAAAUAUCAAUAAUCACUGAUAGCUUUAAACUAAAAGUCUUCUAAAUAGAUUACCGCGAUAUAAUCAGCAAAACGAGAUCAGCAAAACUUCUGAGAUAGUUAAUCAAAUUUAACAGCUUAAACAUAUUUACAAUUACUCGCAUAUAAUUCGAAUACUUGUUUCUCACAUCAAUAAGGAUUCUUCGCAGCGAUGAUCAUCACGAUCACCAUCGUGUCAAUCAGAUCACGCGAUAAAGGGACGCUCAAUCCUGUCCAUUAUCACGAAACAAAGUAGCCCGAGCAAACUCAUUAGGACGCAUGGCACCGAUCGGACGCGUUGCAACCAGACGCAAUGUCGUGUCGGAUGAGCGGCGAGUGUGCGCGCGACAAUUUGCUCGACGAUUCAUCGCUUAAGCGCCACGAGAUUAACGCGCUGCACGUGCAGGCAAAUGCUGCAAAAUUGAAUCUUCAUGGCGCGUUACAGGUCCUCUCUCUCUCUCUCUCUCUUGCAUGCGCGCGCUAUUUCUCGUUCUUUCUCUCUUCCUCGCUUUCAUCUUCUUGUUGCUCCGCUCCGGCAGAGACGACGUGUAAACGCGACGGCGGCGUCAGCGAAAACGUGAGCACGUCGAUACUUCCGAAUGGCGAGCGUUUUAGAGCCACGAUCAUCACUGGCGGCUGCAUCGUUACGCGUGAUAUAACGGUGAUCAUCCAAGGAAUCGUCGCUACGUGUUAACGUCCCGUUAACGGGAUUAAGUGCCAAUUACGUUCUUACCGCCGCGAAAUUACGUGGCACGGUUAAACUUCUAAUUUGAUAAGUGGCCGUUAACUGCACUCGAGCAGUGUGUCUGGCUCACGCUUCAACAACCGAUGCACCCGUCGUAGUUGUUUGCAUCGUGAUAUUUCUUGGCUCGACGAUGACUUCCUUCCGAAACAGACGCGUUUCCGCGCGACGCGAUUAGCACGGUGUUUCACGCGUGGAAAGCCCGAACGCCCCAACGCGAACGCUACGUAUGGAAGAGUAUUUAAAGCUUGGUGAUUAAAAUUAGCGAUGCACAGUGAUGUAUAUUUAGGGACAUUCCGAAUUAAUCGAUGGAAAGCGUAUCGCGCGAACUUUUAAUCCGUACCUAUUUUCGGAGAUGAUUUACAGUGAGUUAUUUAUUCACGAUGUAGCGUAAAAUCUAGCAAUUUUUAUAAGCCCCGUGCACGGUUCGUGAUUGGAGUUAAUAAUUGAGAGAUUCAGUAUCUGGAUUUUCUUCCCCCGAGUUGUUUCUCUCUCGGUGCGAGCAUAUCUACGCUUAUAAACGACGUUUUCUACUCUUUUCUGCUUCAUAACGUUGUUGGUUUUAAGACAUGUCCCAUUGUCGCCGUAAAAAUACGCUCGAAGUUGGCACAAUUUAUUUCACUGUAUCUCUCUGUCUCUCUCUUUGUUUUAUUUUAUUUUUAUGCGCGUAUUUGGCGCACGCAGUCGACUCUGCAUGCGAAAUCUUUUAUUUAUCUCUCCGUGUUAUUAUCGCUUCCGGCUGGUUUAAUAAAAUAAUUAUGUAUUUAAUUAUGGAUCUUUUGAACGAUAGUCUCGCAGCUUUUGUUUCUCAAUGUAUUCAAAGAUGCUCGUGUGCGCGAUAUACAAAUAUCAUUACUAUGAUUCAAAGCUUAUCGCAAGCUAUCGCGAGGGUCUUGCUAAUUGCAGCUGCAACAAUCUCGCGAUCACGUUUCAAUUUGUCCCAGCGCUCCGUAAUUUAUACGCAAUUUAUGCUCAACCCCUCUCGGCGCGAGACGCGCCACGAUGUUUAUCGGAGGCUCCCAAGUAGUCUCAAGUUCAUCUGACUUACAGGGUAUCCAGGACCGCGCGCGCCUCCCUUCUAUCACAGGUUCUUUCGUGAGCUCGACAUCUCUCGUCUUCCGUUUCGAUAGCAAAGAUUCGGGUCUACAAGUCGCUGCAGAUCGAAAAAAAGUCUGCGAAUCGUCAUCGCGCGUACAUUCGCACAGAUCUUUCUAAAAUAAUCCGAGAGCUAACUGACAUCACUGAUAUCCCAUCGCGCGCGCGGUAAAUAGCCGUGAGCGACCAGCAGAAGUAGGAAAUAAAAAAUAGAGAGAACCGGGAAGGAAGAGCGAAAAGCUAUAAGUACACGACAAGGACGAGAAGGCCGACCUCCGGUAAUUUUCAUUCCGGGGCGAGACAGCGACGAGGCUCUGAGAGAGGCUGAAACGUCGUUUAAGGAAAUCUUGCCUUAAGUCGAGAGCCGUAGCGUUUAACGCAAUUGGAGCUCAUUUAAAAAUCCCAUCAAAAAUGUACUCGGAAAUAUCUGCGUGUCCCUGCCACCCUCCCGCGAGGAUCACCAACCGCCCCUUCAGCACCAUUCCCCGCGCCGACCUCCGUCGCCACUACGCCGCUACACCGCCCCUCACUUAAACCACCCCCCGAGGCUAUUUCUGCGGCCCUGCCGCUUCUGCCUUACUAUCCACCCUCUUUUUGAUCGUCACCCUCGCCGCUACCACCCUUCUUCUAUCAAACGCGCGCGCGCACACACACUCAUACACAUUCUCGCGUCUUCUCGCAGACUUCUUCCUUCUCUCGCUUUCGUCAUCGCAUCUUUCCUUGGAGCAUCUGACGAACCUCGGAAAGCCCGAAGAGAGACAGUGCCAGGGGCUGUUUGAUUGGAUUGUAAGCUCGAUUUACACUACCUUCGGCUCUCCAGGCAUCUCUCUCUCUCUCUCUUUCUCUCUCUCUCUCUCUCUCUCUCUCUCUGCCUCUCUCGUGAACACGAGCCGACACGGUCCAUCUACGUACCAAUUUUGCGAACCAGAGCGUUUUAGGAAGUUAGUAGAUGAGCACGAGCCCGAGAGCGAGCGCGGCGCGACUCGGGCAAUAAAAUAACGUCGACGGUGACCGAGUUACAAAGGACAAGUUACGCGAGAGCUAAAUAACGUUUGUUUAACAAACGUUUCCCUCUUUUUUUUCGUACGUACGUGUGCGUGCGCGCGUGUCGGGACUGCAGUUUUGAACGAUGUCUGUAAAGUGAGGUUUUGCCAACUCGAAAAGGUUUGUCGCGUAUUUCCGGUCGCAGUCUCGACCAAAUGUCUUUCGCAAUUUCAAGGUCUGUGCACGUUGUGCAAGUUUGGUCGCACGAGGAGAGAGGAAGAAACAAGAAACGUGGAAAGUAUGACGGAAAGCGCUACACGCGUACGUAAAUUUGAUGAAGAGGCAUAGAAUGCUCCAGAAUGUUAAUGUUCAACCGCAUAAACGGUUCUGAGAGACCGAUGUGCGCGAGAACGAUUAAAACCGCGCGCGCGAGUCUUGGGCGGAACUUUAACAAAUCACGGCGUGAUGGUAUCGACAGAAGUAUCGACAACUUUGCAUUCGCGAGCCGUCAAAACGUCGCGCGGAGUUGAAUGACUCGAUGAUUGCAAAGCAUCCAGAAAAUUUGUUUUCGCAGUAAUGAAGCGCCGCCGUUAACGAACCCAUUGUUCACAUGCGGAGUUUUGUUUCUUCGUUCUCGCCCCGAUUAUACGCUCCGCAUUAUUCGCCGUAACGCGAAAAUGGCUGCUCUUCGCAACUUACUCAUUAACGCGUGAAAGUAGUACAUCUUCCGGUGUGUAAUAUGAAUCCUUUCCAUAAAAAUAUACUUUAAUGUAAAAUAGUACUUUGAUAAACAUCAGCGAACACCUACGGAAAAUUCUUCGACAUUCAUAACAAGAUUUUUUUAUGAAAUAAGUUUUUCAAUGCAGUUUGUAUAAAAUAAUUAUGAACCUUAUAUUCGGAUAAUUUGUUAGAUGAUAUAUCAGCGAAACAUUUUUUCGUGUAAUAUCACAUUUAGAAAUUAGAUUACACAAAAUAUUUUUUAUUACACAGAAGUUUUGCGAUAUUGGUUUCAUUUAACUUUUAUCUCUCAUCAUCUGUGUAAUAUCAAAAGGGUAUCGUAGUUUGAUAAAACACAGCUCUGAUGGUAUUUAACAAAAUCGAGACAGGCAAUCAUGGUGCGUCGAAAGGCAGAAGAGGAAGAGAGCGAGAUAAACGGAAAGAGAAACGUGUCUAUUUUCGAUUCGACGAGAUAGCCCGACUAUUGUUCGGAUCCAACAAUUUUAUUCAUCUCGAUCGUGCGAACCGGUGGAACCGAUAUUGCAGCAAAUACAGCAACGAAACAUUCUCAUGUUAUAAUAGAUAAGGUGAGCUGUAGCGAUAAUUAUUUCUAGCCACGUGCUCUGCCCUUAUUACUUCAUCCGUCGAAAUUUCCUUCGGGUAAUUGGGUAAUCGGGGAUGAAAUGCGAUAAAUGUUAGAUAAAAAAGCAUUAAAUUAAAUCGUGGCACUGUACAAUGCGAGCAUGACGAAAAUCAAAGAGAAUAAUUAAUUCACGAAUUUUUUUAUAAUAAAAACAAAUGUUGCGGAGAGCAGCUCGGGUAAAAAGAUACAUCUGUGCAGUUGUGACUUUAUAAUAAGAGGCUUUAAUAGUAAGAGGCUCUUUAUAAUGAGGCUUUGUAUAAUGGAAAAAAUCAUAUAUAGUGCCUUAUUAAUAAUUAAUUGAAAUCUGAGAAAUUAUUUGUUUAAAUUUGCAACGUCCGGAUUGUAUGUCGAUACUGCAUUUACCACCACGGGCUCUUCUAUUUAUUUUGCUCUCGAUGCUCGUAUUUUAUCCUGUGCUUCAUUGCGCUUCCCGGCGCUAAUGUAGGCAGACGCAAGGUGCGGCGAUUAUCCGCAAGUAGUCAAUGGCUGACUUUACAGCACCACGACGUAGUUUGUAGCAGGCGGGGUUUAAUAUCGCCGAGCUGCUUGCUUGCGGCGAUGUUGUCACUUCUGGCAGGCUCCACUCCGGCUCCCCGGCAAGUAUCUUAAUCUUUAAUUAUCGCCCCCUCACCAUCCUCUUAAUUACGGCGUAAUUGUAGUUAGAUAGCGUAUCAGUGUCCCGCACAGAAAAAGUUUGACGGCGGACGAACGUCGGUGAGGUCGGCGUGAACGACGUCGAUCCCGAGACGUCCAAUUAUCAGGGCCCGAUAAUCGGCCGGUGCAGAGAACGAGCCAGCCGGGAAGAUCCCAGACGAACGAGAGAGAAACGGUUCAAGGAUAAACGAGAAACCGUCUUCCUGCCGCGAUGAGUUUCAUGCGAUCGCCGCGUUAACCACGGAGAAAACCUUCGGGUUUUUUAAUAACGCCGUAGCCUCCUGGCGAUGCCGUUCAACGCACGAGGCUGUCGUUCCUCUCGCAAAUAAUUCCGCCCGUAACAAGUGCGAGAGGCAGCACCAAAAUCCAAUAAUUCUCGCGUAUGGAUCGCGACCGUUAUCAAACACUGUUCUGUAGCCUACGAAUUAAAAAAUUAAUAGUAAAUAUGCGAAGGAUUUAGAUAGCUAGUAAGUAUUUCUGUGUUAAUAUUUCUUUCUUCUCUAUGCUGUAAUCAUGUUUGAAUCCACGGAAUCAUUGGUAACCGAUGCGAGCCUGAGUGCAUCGCCGAAUAUGCGACGCAUGAUCUAUGCAUUUUCCGACAUAUGUAGAUAGACGGACGAUGAUUACCCCCCGAUGCGAACGUAAUUACAAUCGGGCAGGGAGAGGCAAGAGUAUAGCUUACAUGUAAAUUGCUGCUUAUAGAGUCGAUCGUGCUAGACUCUAUAUCCCGGCAGCUAGAUUAGAAAAAGCACGGAGCCUCUUACACGCCUGACUAGCCACGAGGUAGUACCACCGUGAAGAAAGGGGGUUGAAAGGGGGAGGGAGACUGGAUGGUUCGCAAGCGUAAAAGAGGAUGCAGCGGGGAAGGCGGAGCUUCGAGAUAAAAAGGGUAAAGAAAGGCACACUAACGAGAGAGAGAGAAAGAGAGAGAGGGUGAGCGUGAGAAAGAAAGAGAACGUGUGCGCGGAGGGUUGAUACUCGAAGAACGCUAAUUCGGUGCCGGGCUUGAUAAUCAAGCGGACUAACGAUGAAUCUCGCAGCCACUCCGCCUAAUCUCGCGCGCUAUGUCGAAAUAAGGAGAGAUAGAGCGACCGAGAUAAGGGAGUUGCGCGAGAUCCGCGCCAACAUCCGUAAUUAGUAUCCCCGUCGAGCGCGGCGGCUGAAAUAAUACGCGUGAAAUAUAGUCGCGACCCCGUCAAAUGCGUUAAAUGGAUACUUCGAGUUUUAACUCGAAUCUUCACUCGGCUUGUCUGAUGUUAAACGCAGAUUGUAUUACUCUAUUAAAUAACCAGCGAAUCUCCUAAAUUUUAUAAGUUUCUUUAUAGCGAAAGCUUUUUCACGUACAUUGGUAUGAAAUAAAUUUUUAAAUACCGAUAAAUAUAAAACGUAUAUACCGGAGCUUUACAGAUACGUGUAUUAAUAAAUUUCAUAUAUAAAUAUCGAAUGUAGGUAGACUGACGAUACUAAAGAUGACAGAGAGAAUAAAGAAUGUUAGUGCAUCGUCAUAAAAAAAAGAUUUUAACGACAGUCAUGAAUGCAUUCAAUCUAGACCGAUCUAGUUUCGACUAUCAAGACCGACGGCCGUUAGGGAGUAACAAAUAGUUCCGUAAUAAGGACGUACGAGGAUGUCGCCUGGCGGGGAAUAUCCGGUGAAAAGAUCCGCCGGAAAAAUAUCGAGGGGAGGCCGCGCGUCGGCAGACCUGCUAUAGCUAUAGGCAAUGAACUCGCAGCGAUUUUUACGGCGCGUCUGUGCGUAUAGACGGCAAUCCUAUCUACGCGCAUACAUCUACUUUCGUUUACGUAUUUUCCUUUCCUGCGCCUGUGAGGCAGGGGAUUGGGAAAGCCAUGAAAGGAAUCGGCGAAGAGCGGAAAGGCUGACGACGACGACGAGGAAUCGCACAUCUCGCGCUCGAAUGCGAGACGCAGCAGCGCUGAAUUCAGCUGAGCUGAUUGAUAUCACGGGAAAAAUUCCGCGCCAAUAUGCACACGUAUAACUCCUCGACAACGAGGUCGUACUCGCUGCGCGCACUGCUACGUGAGAUUUCACCGAUUCGUCUUUACGCAAUAAUCGCGCGACAGCCAAAUUGACGCGGAUCGCGUUCUCGAUUAACUUGGAAUUGAUUGCACGUGGUGCGAUUUUUCUCUCUCGCAAGGGCACACUGUUUGUCGUUAUUGCAUGAUUAGUUUUUCGCUGAAUGCUGAGCAUUUCCGACCACAAUCACUUUUAAUGAACAUUAACGCCUGAUCGCGAAAUCACAGAGAUAAUAAUACGUGGGUGCCACGUGCGCGUAAUGAAAGAGCUUGCGAUAAAAGCACGGCAUGCCUCAAUAACUCGUUGAUUCACAGCAAUCUCGAUUCAAGCUCACAUGACAGAGAGUCAGCCCUUCUCCACGUGCGCUUGGGUUAAAGGUCGACCGAUAUGCAAAUUAAGGUUAUCGCGUGGUUGGUUUAAAAGGUGAAAGAAUGAAUAAACGCAGUGUCUAAGUUCCUUCAUCUCACUUGCAAUCGCGCUCAAACGAUUGCAUUCUCAAUCACCACGGAUGAAGAGGAAACUGUUUUUUAAUAGUUAUAUUCUUUUUUUUAUUAAAUCUUUCGUUUAUGAAUGGCAAUUGCACGGAUGUUCAUGUUUAUUGAAUAGCUCAAUAAUUCUCGAAAUACUUUCUCGUAGUUAAGUGCAUGAGCGACAAUUUCGAGUGGCACGAUUGAACUUGACAGCGAUACGCUUCAAAAAAUAUGUCGACCGCGCGCAGUAACUACAACGAGAGCACUAAAAGCGAGCGAAAUCGUCCCCCCCGGGCACUAACACUUAAACCUCUAAAAAAUUAAAUUACCUCCUAAUGGGUAAUGGCGAGCCUCGCGGAAAACAGCCGGCGAUAAAAUUAGAGCCAAAGCCUCGAACGCCUGUAAAAUUUUAUUUUAUUUGCCAGCCGGCAAUUCGACUCGGAUUCUGCCAGUUCUAUGUCUCGCUUGUAACAUUCCCGUAAGCAUACGCCUUCACCAUUGCAGUAUGGGAUCCAUAGAAACCGCGCGCAAACAGUGCUAAAUAAUAACAAUCUACAUCCACACGUAAAUUAUGAGCUUCCUUGUGAGAAAUUUAUGUAGAUAACGCAUGAUUUACGAGAACAACUAUGAUGACGCAUUCGCUUCAUUGUAACUUCGUAACUCACAGUGAAACGCAAUAUCUUUUUCCAUCAGAAUAAAAAUAAUCAUUAAAAAUCAUUUGACGAGCGAGAAAUUAGCUCGAGUCUCUAAUCGCCGGUAGGAUUGCACGUCCUACGCAUCCUCCCACACAUAUUACGUAAUCCCAAGAUUUUUUCUCACGCGGAUGCAGCUUCAUCGGCGUUUCCACGCUGCUCCGCAUGUAGAUUACGCUCCGGCUUGAUUUAAAAUCCUUAACACCGGGAUUCCGAGCGAUACCAAAAUAAACCGUCGUGCAAAUUCUGCCGCUCGAUAAGAGGAAACAAUUCCCUCGCGCAUGUAGAAAACCAAUUGCAAGCCGGGAUUGAAAUGGAAUGCCGCGCAAAGACGACGGCGCGUCUUCGAUCGCACGCCGAAGGAAGAUUUCCGAUGAGAGUCGUAUCUACGUCGUUAAAGGGGUUAAAGGGGGUCGCGAGCCGCGUCAGCACGUACCACGACGACGAAAUCACGUCCGCGCGAGCGUGUGCACGCGACCGUCCGCGCGUCGCGCGGAUUGCGGUCGGGGCUCUGCGUAUAGGUGCACUCUCGCUCGCACACCUCAAUCCUCUUUCUUCAACCCUUUCGCGCUAUCGCGCCGGAACUGCCGAAGUCUUCGCACUAACGCGAACGGGACGCGCUCGUCGUCGAUGCACGUGAAGCCGGGAUCGCUUUCACGUAAAUACCCAGCCAGUAUAUAUAACGGGUGCGCAUAAAGGAGGAGCGUACAUAUGGGAUAUGAAGAGAAGUAAGAACGCAGAGAGAGAAAGAGAGAGAGAGAGAGGGGGGGGGAGAGAAAGAGAAGCUCCCGGCAGAUAGCGGCCGGGUAAUAGCGAGGAACCAUCCGGCAGAAAAUCUCUUCCGCUGAAUAUAGUUCGAGAGAGUGGAAGAAGAGGAGAGAGAACGGGGAACGGGAGAAGAGCGUAAUAUAAUGGAUAUACGCGAGCUGUCACGCAAUGCAUACUAAGCUCCUCUGACCGUUCGCGGGUUGUUGCGACCUUUGCCAUCGCUUCUUUUUUUCAUCCAGCCUCCACCGCUCGUGGUUAAGCCGACAGGCAGCCGUUAAGCCGCCUGAGUCGGAUUGUCUUUCGGUUCUGUCAUCGGAUCAUCUUCGCGAGACACGCCGGCAAGACGCUUCCUCCCGCCUCGUUCUCUCGCGAUGAGUUUCUCUCCGUUUUGCGCGAUCGCGAGGAUUUCAACCUACUGCAGGAGUUAAUUCUUCGUGUAUUAUUUAUUUACGCGAUAUAAACAAUCGACGAAGAUGCAGCAGAGCGGUUGGGCGAAAUGUCGAGACAUAUCAGUUGGGGAACGAUAAAAAAAUUCAAUAUCCUGCAGUUCUCGUGUUUACUUGAAGCCGCGGGCGUGGAAUUGCUAAGCGUAUUAUUUGUGCAAUAUCGCUAAUAAUCGAUACGAUUGACUGUGAUAACAUGAAAAAUCGCGGUCGCGCCAUCCAAUCGCACAGCUAUCGACACGGUCGGCGGACCCGAAUACGCUAAAUUUGUCGAAUUGUCGUUUGGGUAUCGUCACGUUACUCGGGCCCCACUCUUUUGUCUAUCGUUCGCGUUGUCUAUCCAGCGCUUCGCGCAAUGGUAUCAUUAUCGCUCGUAUCCAAUUUCGCGAUCCAACCGAAACGAUGGAUCAUUAGGCACGAACUCGACCGUCGAGCCAUAAGCAAUUAACUGCGUCACCCGUUAGAUAGGUACGAUGAACUCAAUGAACGCAUCAAUGUCCACGGUAUUUGUUGCAACAAGAAAAAAAACAUUUGCAGUAAUUAUCGUACGUACAAUUUCUUAUUUGCUAAUAUAGAUGAAGAAAUUCUUUACGAAGGAAUCUGCAUUUAAACGAAUUUCUUUGAAAUUAAUGUUGGAACAUUAUUAAAAACAACGCGUCAAAGCUAUGACGAAUCAAGAACGAACAAAUGCGAAAAUAGCAUUUAUGUAAUUCAAGUGAAACGAUAUGCGUUAAAAGUAACAAAAACGAGAAGAAGGAGAGUCCUGCGCGCUCAUAAAGUUAAUCGUGAGAAUUAAAUUAAACAAUUACUCGCAUUAUCGUCGUGGCUAAUUUAUGCGGGAAUAAUCUGCGGGCUAAAAUGGUGUUUGCUCGUGAUAACAUCGGUAAGUAAAUAUUCAUGAGUCUUUCGGAUAUUCAAAUCUGAAACAGAACGCUAUUAACGUUAACACCGGUCACUCAUAAUCGUUCUCCGAGAGCAAAGAGAAUUAUUGGGGAUCGCCAGUCUAUUCCAUCAUCGCUCUUGGAUUCUUCUGAAAGUUUAAUAAUGAAAGUAACGUAAAGUCUCGCCUGUUAAUUUUAUGCGAAAUGAUUUUCGUAUUAACUCUUAUUAUUAUAUUCUAAGGAUCAUGUAUAAGUCAUAUACACUGUUAAUAAUAUACGCACUAGUUGAACUCGUUCUCCGAGCCAAAAUUUGACGAUAACGGCAUUACGUUACCUUUGAUAUUAUGAUCCCAGGAUAAAAAACAUAAAAGAAUAUUUUAUAUUUUGUCUCGUUUUAUAUUUUGUUGCCUCAGAACUGCAUAAAUCUCGACGCGAGCGGAUGGCGGCAGUACGAAUGCGCGAGUCCGUCGAAUCCGGCCGAUAAAUUCGCGCGGCACGCCGGAAAGCUGUAAAUUCGAUAAAUUCCGCACGCCGGCCAAAGCCGCGCAGUUCGGUCACCCAGUUCAUUCGCAAAAAUUAACGUUUAAGCCCGGCCGGAUAAAAUGCCGCUGAACGACCAUUGAUCCCCGUAAGCUCUCUCCGGUCGUGCUCCCUGAUAUCCGGCGCGGAAUCGCGCGUGUAUGCGGCGAGAUUACACCUACGUCCAUGCUACGUGCUCACCAUUUGGACGGGAUGGAUCCUGCCUCGACGGACACGUACAGGGCGAUUUAAAAGGAGGAUCGCGAGAAAUGCCACAAGUGCUUGCAAAAACGGACGAGAAACGGACGAGAAACGACCUAUCGUAAGCUGGCAAAUUAACUUUGAUGGAAUUACUCGAAUUCACUUGAUUCGCAAAAGCCGAUUACGUGCAAACUACGAAACGACACGUCAUAACGAGUAGUUUCGUUCAGUAUUUUUUACUUAUAUGCUUAUUUCGGUCAUCAGUCUUUCGGUGCUCGAGUCAUUCUGUGAAAUCCCGGUUCGCGUAGGUCGUUAUUCGUAUCCCGGAACUUUAUGAAAAGUCGUAAGCUAGCUCGAAGUUCCAUUCCACGAGUACAAUACACGCUACUAAAUUUUUCAGGUUGUUUUUUUAAAUCAGCCUGUACAUGGGAUCAGUACUUUUCUCUUUUUCCAUGUUCCAGCUGCCGUGCGGUCGCGUAUGUCCUCGUUAUCGGCGCGAUAUUUCAGUUAGCAAGUGGAACGAAAGCGCUCCUGCAGGCGCAAAGCGAAAAUCGAGUGCAAUCGUAUAAAUUUCACGAUCAUAAAGAAAGAUCCGUUUGUGCGUGCUUAACGGUUUUAAAUCGGCCGGAAUGACGUGGAUUCGCGGCAGUUAGCGGGGAUCGCGAUGGAAGUGUGGUGUACGUUGUCGCUCGCGGUGUUAUCGGGACAGCGACUAUCGGUGGUUAUCAUCGGACGAGGACCGUAGAAAAGAUUUCCGCACGGUGAUUUUAUAUCGGAGCUGAACAACAAAUUGAAUUUGUGUUGAUGGAAAUUAAUUUCAUCGAGCGUGCGUCGCGUGUUAUCUCGUCGGCAUUAUCGAAACGAGCACAUUAUCAUAAGACCGUUAGCGGAAGAAAAUUUUCCGAAAUUGUUGCGGGAUUGAUCACGAUCGUCAAUAAGGGUGACGUGACGUUGCGUAAUGAAUGAAUGACCAAGAGGGUCGGUUCGAGAUCACCGCGAUCGAAUCGAGAUGGUCUCUCCAACCUGGUAGCGUCUUCUCGUUGAUAAUGGCGAACAAAGGGGUGUAAUAGCCCGGAUUGGAAAUGUCCCACUGAUAUCCAUUGUGCCGCACGACACAAUGGAUUAAGAGCAAAAAAUGCGGGGAGUUAUCAGUAUCGAGGCAAGAGAAACGCGUGAUUGUUCCACGGCUCGAUAAUAAGACGGAACGUGCGAUUGGCAAGGGAUUUAAUGCGAAAGAAAUUCGCCGAUCAAAAGAACGUCGCUCGAUACUUCUACUUCUCUGUCCCUCUCCUCCUUCCCACCCCUCGCUGCAAUGUCGCGGAAAUACGCGCUCUGAAUCCAGCAGCGCGGCUGUUCGCGCUUUUCCACCUCGUCUCUCCUUUUCCCGCCUCCUUCUCCUCUGCCACCCUCUCGUCCUCGUUCUCUCCGUCUCUCUUUUUUUGUUCUGCUGUUCCGGAUGCUCGAUGUAGCCUACGCAUAAUUAAAGUCGUCGCGAACUUAGAUUGGCGAGAAUUGCGCAUCCACUCUUUGGCGAGCGCGCGAGGAAAUUGGUGCUUGCAGCCUGAGAAACUUCGGCGGGCUCUUUAAUUGGUAGAGGUGCCGCGCGCGCGAGAUGCCGGAAAUGGAAAUCGACCUUGAGCUGCGCGGAUAUGCUUAAAAUUUCGUUAAAGGCGCUGAAAGAGGAAGACCGCGGCUCGCGAUAUCCGUCAACCGCACCGGAAUCCAUUUCUCGACCGCUCGGGGACAACAUCGGCUCCCUUCCACUCGAAAACGCAGAUUAACGAAAAUCGAUGGUUGGCGAGUUCUUACCGGCCGUUUUUACGCACCGGAUUUAUCAGGGUUAAACAGAGUUUAUCUUGGAUGUAUCUAUAUUUUAUUUUCAAUUUAACGUUUGAAAGAUGCAUCGCGCGGCAUUUCACGGAAGCUGCACAUCGAUUAAGAGCUGAAGGUACCAAUUGCAAACUGAUGACUUCAUAUCGCGAUCUGUGACGCGGCUCAACAGUCACAAUUAUCAUGUGAUAUUAUCAUGAAAAUACAUAAUUUAUCUCAAUAAUGACGAAUAUGAAAAUUUUAAUGCAUAUCAGCUUGGAAUGAUCGGAAAAGUCGUCCAAUAAUCCAGCCGAGGUCUCAAUGAAGAGACGACGUUGUCUGGAAAUGAUCGCACGUACACCUUACCGAGGCACGUUAAAUGAACUCUCCCCGCGGCGGCAUUCCGACCUGAAUGGCGUUGGCGAGAAGACGGCAAUGGGAUUCGCGCGCUUUUCGUUUAGAUAUAAUAAUUGAGCGAACGUGACGGGCAUUCUCGUUGCGCAGGAAGCGAUUUUCACGAACGAGAACUUUUUAGCGGGACACUUAGCGGGCGAGGAUGGGUGAAUACGCCUCAUCGAUAGGAGAACGGAGAAACGGGCGAGAGAAGCCGCAGGGGUAACUUGUGCGGGGUAGGAGCUGCAAGGUAGGCAGGCGGAAUAGGCGGCGAAUGUCGCACCUACGACUUUCGGAAUCGUAAAAUUUGAAAUUGCCCCGGGAGCCAUUUGCAUGCCGCGUUUUGAGGGGACGGUUUGCCGCAAAUUUAUUCGUCUUCUCUCGUUCCCUGCCCGGUUUCCUGCUCCGCUCCUCUCCGCUCGUUCUUUUUUUCUGUCUCUCUCUUUCUUCCUGCCCAUUCGCGGUCUUCGCGCGCCGUUGGGUGAAUAGAAUGGGCUUGGUACUUUUAGGGAGACGGAAAUGACACACCGAUUUUAGAAUCUAUCAGGAAGCAGACAUGGAUGGUUGAUUAUCAUACACGAAUUCAUGCAUACGAGAAAUCCGUGUCACAUACGUUUCCAUUUGCGAAAAAAGAAUGGUGAAAUGUCGUGUAGUAACGUCAUAGUGAUUAAGUAGAUAUCAGAAAAAUCAGAAAAAAAGUGACGUGUACGCUAUUGAUAGUUACUCGAAAAUGCUUUCUAAGCGAAAAUGUCAUCCGCGUUUCGACCCAAUCUAAUUUGACACGUGAGAAAUUAUCGAGAUUUAUUAAUAAAAUAUUUGAUCUUUAGUUACGUAGAAAAUAUAUUGACAAACAAAAUAAAAUUUCAUAUUUUCAUUCUAUGCACGUGAGAAAUUCUGCUCAAAAAUUCUGCAUGCUGCAUUACUUCAUCGUAUAUCAAACUUCUGCAUCCGGCGACAUCAAAAAUCAAAAUUCAUAUAUUGCUAUAAAGACAAUUCUAAAAAGGGACUGGCUGAGAGAUUUACUUACAAUAAACACUUGUGUCAUACAUAAUAUCUGCAUGAUAUUUGUGCUGCAGAAAAGAGAAAAUCUCGCGUUAAUCCGUCAAAAUAAAUUCUGCACGGCGACGCGCACCAAUAUCAUGUCGCUAUUAUGAGCUGUUUUAACGCGGCGUUUGAGCUACGCACACGCGCAUUACACGGCCUAAUUCUAACGUUUAUCAGGAUUAACACUAAACACAACGUAAUAGUGCGCGUCGUUCCGCCGUGUUAGACGUAUAUAGCCGCGGCUACGGCUGAAAGGGGUGGCAGGGAGGAAAGGGGAGGUUAAGUGGAAAUUGUUCCGCGCGUAACCGGCUCUUCGUCGUCAAAGCCGCGAUCCGUGAAACUCGUCACAGCCCUCGCUCGUUUCCUUUACGUCGCACUGACGUUGAAUUACUUUCCGAACGGAAAGACGUCGUCGUCUGUAUUUUGCUCUCUCAUGGAGAAAGAGAGACAGAAUGAGAGGAACGAAGGGAGAGAGGGAGGAGGGACAGAGAGAGAACAAGCGGCUUCUCGAGAGCGAGGAGCAAGAAAGCGGGUCACGUCGAUCGAGCGGCGCAUACGAGGAAACGGCGCGUAGAUAUCAUGCGAGAAUCGACAAUAUAGCCUCGCGCCUUCGGCUGUUUUCUUAUCUAUAGAGCCGAUCAGCGGGUGCGGGCGGUAGCAAUCGCUUGAAAAGCCGAUAGGAAGUUACCCGCUAUCAGCGACAACGAGUACCACCCAUCGGCCGUACGGUACGUGCCUUUAUUGCUGUUAGAUAACUCGUUCGACUUACUCCCGCAGUGGCUUCAUUGCUGGCCAUCGUGUCUGACGACCCUUGCACUUGGACAUGAAAAUUGUUAGCGAUCGAAACGAAGCUACCGAUAUUACUAAUGAUUUCGGUAUCCUUUGGUCUUAAAAAUAUCAAUAAGAUAUCAAGAACUAUCGAUAAGACGAUGAUUUAAAUAAUCGAACGAUGGACGCGUGAAUACGACAAAGUGGUCUGACCAAGAUCGGCUGUUUCUACUUAAAAUCGAAUACUCCGUAAGAAUCGACCAGAAUUGCAACGCCUGUCUGAGAAUGAUUUAUAUCCCUGCGGUCAGCUUAGUCCCGUGGCUCAUUUCUCGUCGAUGAAGUCGAAAGAGGGUGAAAUCCUCGUGAAUAACGAGGGGAAGGCGGAGGGGAAGACGUGUCUUUUUCUGGGAGCGCCGAACGCAUCGGGAUAUCUAAAUUCAUUACCGCUUGUUUCACCAAGUUUAAUUGAAUAGGAGGCGCGGCGGGGCGGCAAGCUUUCCGUAAACCCGAGGACAAUGGCGAGGUGGGAGGGACAUUAAUACGGGAUACCCCACGAAGCGCGAGGGAGAUAAAGAUUGCGAAGUCGGGAAAUUAAUAAGUGCCUACGUAAAUAUCUCGCGUAGGCAAGGCGCACCGCGCGCGAUUCGGUAAUUAAAUUUUCAGAGGAGCGAGGAAACUUACGUCGAGCACGCCGAGGAGUCAUUCUCACUGAUCAUACAUCUCAUGAUAAUGCUAACGCAAUGAGUUCGCGGCGAGUAGGUCCCGCGCGAUUAAUUCGCGCGCGGAUUUAGGAGCACCAUGCAUAUUAACUCCGGUACGGUCAAACGCGCGUUUCGUGCUUCCGCGACCUUUUCGCAAUUAUCCGACUGUGCUCAAAUUGCGCUCAAAUUGCGAAAGUUGACGGAUACUCGCGAGCCAAGUUCAUUACGAUUUUUCACAAAACUCGCAAUCAGGUAAAUAACUCGAUUUCGACCAGCGCAAACUCUUAUUGCUCAGGUCAUACGGAGCCGAGUUCUCUUUAGCGCGGCUAACAGGAGCGCGAGAUGAAAUUACGAAUUUAUCGAUUUACGUAGUUCAAAAACGGUCGGACGACACACGUUCGCGCGCUUUGCAAACUCGCUAUAUGAAAAAAAGGGAAGGAAAAAAGGAAUGAUGAAAAAAAGAUAUUCAUCUCACUGUACACUGUCAGAGUUAAAUCAGGUAAAUUCGUCGGGCUCGCUUUUUGAAACAUACUUCCUUUGUGUCUUGUGUCGUUCGUGUUUGCGGUCGCACUACCACGGCGAGAUAUGAUUAAAAAAUACAUGGAGCAUGAUUUUGAUUUCACGAUUAGCACGAGUAGUAGUAUCAUGACGAGAAAAACUGGUCAAUAUCCGAUCGCGUGAUAUCAAUUUAACGUACGGCGACCGGAAGUAUUGCUGAAAUCAAAUAUACGUCGGAAAUGGCACCGGCGGAAAUUGCAAUUGGAUACGUGCUUGUGCAUUCUACAACGCGUUAUUUUACAGUAUCCUGUGCGAUACUGUAGAGAGAAGAAAAAAAAGAAUGGCAGACCUAAAUGUCUCCGCCUUGAAUAGUUCGAUCCUUCGGACGCGUUCUGCUCCACUUUUCACCGGGUAACCGGGAGACACGAUGGACUCGGUUAAAAAGGCAACGUGUAACGUCGCUUCCUGAAUUCGCACGCGGGACGGGGGAUGACGUGCGGCGCGAGUCGUGUGAAUUACUGGAUGCGUGUCGGGACGAGGGACAAUGACGUUAGAACGAAGAGAGAAGACGAGGGAGAGCUGUCAGAUAGUAAAGCCGCGAUAGCCAGAGACCGACUCGCUGAACCUGUUCCUCUCUCUCUCCCUUUCUCACACACACACAUUACACUCUAUCCCAUUCUGUACGUAUAUGUAUAUAUCAUCCCUACGUGCACGUACAAUGUACCCCGCGUGCACACAAUGCAGGCGAUUGCCUAUGGCACAUACAAAUGCGCAGCGUGUACGCGCUCCGGCUCGCUUACUCGCUCGCUCACUCGCGCACGCGGCGAGCGGCGCGAAGCGUACGUCGAGCAUGGCACGUUCGAAUCGUAUCUCGAACGGAAGGCGCGCAACGUGCAUUGUUUCGCCCGAGCGGCAACGCCUGACGUCGCCCGACGACAUUUCCUUCGCACUUUAAACACCCGCGCUCUCUCGGGCUCGCGUAUCUCUGGGAUUCUCUCCUUUUCAUUCCGCGCCUACAGGGUGGCCCGGACGUUCUCGUCCACGCCUCCUCGCGGGAAUACCGCGUACUCGAAAAGCGUUAAAUUAUUUCGAUGUCCAAGUGAAACUUGUAAACUUGAAUCAUUGUAAACGAUUAGAACUUUGAUGUUCUAUUGAUAGCUUUAUUCAUGAUCUAGGGCAUAAGGAAUAUAAUAUUACGUUUCUUUUUUUAACGUCCAAUAUGAUGGCACAAUUAACGCUACAAAACAUAGAGUUUCUGAUCUAGAAAUAUUCCUUCUCGUCAGAAAUAAUUUGAUACGCCCGAAUUAAAAUCAUUUUCAACGUUUCAAGUUUGAAAAUCGUCGCAGCGAUGGUACAUCGAACUUUUCUGAGACUAUCGAGCUCUCGACCGAAAAACGCCAAUAAAUUCCGUGACGCAGUAGUCGACGGAUAUUUAACAACGUAAAAUAAAUUUUUCACGAAGCGUAUAAAAUGUAAUUAUCGCAUAUCGCUAUAUGUAUAUCUUCGAUUCGCCACGGAGCCGCGCGCGAAGCCACGAGUUUAGCCCAGUAACGAGUUUCCAUUAAAAAAAUUCCUUUCGUCCCGGCAUCAGCAGCGGUAACGUAGCAUAGGCAACAGCGAAGUCUCAACUCGGAGUCGACGUCUCCCUUUCCUUCCUGUUUGUCGGUGCCGGUCACCCCCGCCCGGCCGCUUCGCAGCGUAAUUUUAUUUCUCCGAUUUUAAGCGACGCUCCGGGCCCUAAUUUCGUUAAAUGAGUUGUUUGCUAACUCGGUUAAAUUCGCGAGCAGCCAGCCAGCCAACCAGCCAGCCACCCAGCCAGCUAUCUAGGCAGGAGGCGGCAGUCUAGCAGUCAGACAGGCAUGCAGCUCUUCCCGGCCGGUCGUCGGUCGACCGACCAACCAGCACCGAACCGGUCGGUGGGGUCUCGCACGGGUAAUGGUUUGACAUGGUUAUUGACGUUUCAGGCCGAAAUCUAAUUAUUUGAUAUACGUGCUUGUCUGCCGUCACUGCGGCAUACAGAUACGUCAACCAUCAACGGUGCACCUCCCGUUGACCCUGUCUUUCCCUCUCUCUCUCUCUCUCUGUCUCUUGCAUUUUCAUUCUCUAUCUCCGUCAUCACUUUAGCAAUACAAGGCUCCCCGACUACCUCAUAUAUGGUUGCGCGUGGGUUACAAAUUGUCCAAGAGAUAGGUACUCCUGGUGAUAAAGAUUCGAUAUAAAGGAUUCACGGGAAAUAAUGCACGAGGAAAAUAAGAAUUAACUAAAUGGACUUUAUAAUGCGGUAACCAUGGAUGGAGAACAUUCUUUGCCAGUCAAGUAAAAAAUACUUCCUUCGCUAAACUCGUUAAAAUCUCGCGUCACCAAGGCAUUUUUCUAGAAUGUUGAAUCCCACAAUGUAUUCGCGAUGAUAUCUUCACAGAUAUAUAAUUUAUAUAAUAUUAGAGACAUGAUAUAACAUAUAUUAAAACAUUCAAAUAAGAGCGUGUAUAUAUACGGGAACCCAAAAGAAUGUCUGUCCAAGAGCGAUCGAGUUGCGGUAUGCAUUCGCGGGAUUCGACUCUGGCAAAUACUCGAUGGAGCCGUACAUUAAGCAUGUGCGCGACCGAAGUACAGUUAGUUAACGUCCGAUCACACAAGAGCGGUCGGUUGCGCUACUCUAUAACAGCGUUACGUUAUAGGCCGGCUCGCAAUAUGCUUCCCCGGCACACCCCCCUGUCCGCGCCGCAUCCCAGCACUUCCUCUCGACGUCUACGAGGGUGAAUCUCGAGGCAGCCAACUACCGGGAACGGUGGUAGUUCGGUCGGUGCACUACACGGCUUUCGCGCGCACUGCGCGACGGCGUACUUAACAUAAUUACAGAACGCCGUGGCAUUGUUCCGCAUCACGAUGCCUCCGGGACAAACGGCAGUAAAGGUCGAACUUUGCCCACCACCAACUCGGCUACCGUGAUUUCCGAUCCAAUCUCGUUGCCCGCAUUGCGAUCGGCUCGCUACUGCGCCGCGCGAUCUGAUCUGAUUCUUCGGACUUAACAAGGAUCAUCCAGCUUAGUCAUCGCGUGGUUGCUUAGAUUGCUGCAAGCCGCUAAUCUCAAUUUCUGAAUUUACAAUUUUGCAUCCGCGUAAUUCGCGAAUCUCGCGAAGUUCACUACAUUAAACUCUUUUUGCGCGAAACGGAUCGAUAUCGAGAACUUUUUCUUGUUCCAGAGCGACUCCUCGAUUGUUCAUUACUACGACUGCGAUAUGCUGCUACGAGAUAUAGUGCAUCGAGUGAAUUGCAAGUAACCGUAAAGCCGCGGUUUCUUUGAGGCUAUCGCUGGCCUUCGUCCUCCCUUUUCAUAAUUUUAAUCGUUGCUGCGGAUAACGCCUUGAACGAAAGGCGGACUAGCAGGCUCUUUACAGACGGAUGACUGAGUUCAUCCGAAAUCGAUCGCGUUUUUCAGUAGCGGUUCGGGAAAUGAACUGGACUUUGUCAAAGGACGAGAUAGGAGCGAUCGACCGGAUUUUCGUGGAAUAUCGUGACAAGCGGAAGUCUAUGGCGUCUAUGGCUUUACGCGUAUGGAAGUUUAAACGGUUAAUGCAACAAAAAAAAGGGGCGAAAGGGAAAGAACGAAGUACUUUGCCAGGUAUCUCCGUCGCUCCGACUCGCGCAACCCUCUGUCUCGUUCUACGUCGAUGCGUUCUUUUUUCUCCCUGCUCCCUCGAUAUUUUCUCGUCUGUUAAUAGGAAGGCCUGUCAAUUGCGCUUUUCACACAGCUCUCGUGUGGUGCUUUACGAGAAGCUUUUCCGCGGCGAAAGAGCAUAAAUGCGCGCGGCAUGGCGCGACGCGCGCGUUCCACGCACGCACGUGUAUCCGUGCUUGCACAGUCGCAAGCGGAUACUGAACGCUUGUAUAGGCACGCGCAUGUAUGCAUGUGCACGUUCUGCAACGCUUCUGCACGUCAUGCAAAAACACGCACACUCGCAAGUGCGUCCAACGACAUGUCGUUGCAUGUAUACACACGUUGAAUGUAUUCGCGCGUGCAUGUAUACACGCGGUAGCUCGUGGUACAGGGAUGGACUCUACGCUCUGGUCGCCCGUGUAGAGCCCGCGUUUGCCUCUACGGGGUGUCUUUCAGGGAAGUAACAUCGUAAUUUCAUUAGGUAUCCCACUCACUAACUCAUUCGCUCCCGCGUUCGUCUCUCCUCUCCUCUCCUCUCGCGGCGCGUAGACGCGCAAACAAUGCCUGCCAAUCUCUCUCUCUCUCUCUCGCUCUCGCUCUCUCGCUUUCCCCCGAGCCACCCCGUAUCUCUUUGUCGUCGUCGUCGUCGUCGUUGCCGUCAUAGUCGUCGACGACCAUCCUCCCCAUGUGACCUAGCCUUGAUAAUGGCGACAGCGAAUAAAUCGGACGCGCGUAUCGAGUGCGCUUAUUAACUCGGUUAACGCCGACGAUUAGCGGGCCGCUGACGGAAUAUUUAGCGGUAGCCGGUUUACAAUAAUUUCGCGUCGCACGCCACGCUCGCUCGUAAUAUCAUCGUAAGCACUGAUUAAACGCGCGCCGACCGUAACGAUCGCGAUACGAUACGGCGACCGCGGUAAUUCCGCCGAGCGUAUUACGAGCGCAGUAAUGGAAUCGAUAAUAAUUACACGGCCGUGAGAGCAGCGCUCCACGCCGUUGUCCUCCGAAGAGCCGCCUUCUUUCAAAGGCAGCCUGGUUGCCUUUAUGCCCUAGGUUAGCGGACUGUGUGUGUAUGUACAUUGUAUGCAAAGUGUUAAAACUGAACAGUUCUAAUCUUUAUACAAGAUGCUUCAUUUUUACCGAAUUGACCAAAUUUCAUUAACCCCUUCGGCGGCAUUGACGCCAUAUGGCGCGAAAAAUGUAUGUGUCCAUGUCGGCAUUGACGCCAUAUGGCGUCCUUGUAUUUUUUUCAAUUGAUUGGGCCGAUCUUCAUAAAACUUAGUACGCAAAAGCUUUUUGGGUCGCUGAAUACGAAUCCAUAGUCAAAAUUUCAAAAUUCAAAAUGACGGAUCCAAUAUGGCGAUCAAAUAAAAUCAAAAUUUGUUCGGAAUGUUAUUAAAUCUGAUAUCUAAGAGUUUUUGGGACUGAUAAUACGAAUCUCAGAUCACAAUUCCAAAAUUCAAAAUGGAGGAUCCAAUAUUAUCAAAAAAGCAAAAUCUAUCCGAGUGUUAUGAAAACUGGUAUCCAAGAAUUUUUUCAGUUGCUGAAUUUGAGGUACAAAAUUGCAAAAUUCGAAGUGUCGAACCCAAUGAAGUGGCACAAAAUAAAUAAAAACUUGUUUCACUGACUAAGUUUUUGGAUGCAUCUUUCCAAAGAUAGUUUGGGUUCCCAAUUCUAAGAUACAAAUACUUAUCAGUUUUUCAAUUGUUCUUAGAUAGAUUUGGUGUUUUGACCAUCAUAUUGGAUCCGCCAUUUUGAAUUAUGAAAUUUUGUAUCUCAAAUUCGUAUUCAGCGGCUCAAAAACCCUUUAGAUACCAGUUUUCAUAACAAAUAGAUAGAUUUUGGUUUUUUGACCGCCAUAUUGGAUCGGUCAUUUUGAAUUAUGAAAUUUUGUACCUCAAAUUCAUAUUUCGCGAGCCAAAAAAUCCCUAAAUACAAGGUGUCUUUAAAAUCCGAUUACUGUUUUUUGGGUGCCACCAGGGGCACAAACAGUGAUAUUCUGUUUGCCGCUGAAGGGGUUAAUGGCGAAAUCUUUGACGAAUCUGCGAUCGAUCUUCCCAAAUUUUUGUCAAGAGACAAAAAUAUCGGAGACCGCUUUUUUCUCAAUUCAUAAAUGUUCAUCAAUUUACAAUGUAUCAUUAUUGGAUUGCGAAGCGAUUUGUUACAGAACAUUAUUACAGCGAAAGAAUGUUUAUAUAGUCAAAUUAAAGUGAGAAAUUAUUUGGAAUUAAAUGAGAAGAGUGACUCGCCGCGCGUAUUUCUGAAUUAAAUCUGAUUGAUUUCGCGGGGUCAACAACUUCGGCCAUCAACUGUGCUGCGUUUCUGAUCCCGAACGCCAGUGUCACAAGCACGUAUCAAUUUUUGCGUAUAAAAUGAAACCUUAUUCUGUUUAUCCGUAACGCAAUUUAUGAAAAAGGAAACGCUCGUCUCUACAAAGAGCGGAAUAUCCGUCACGACUUUAGAUUCAUAAAGCAUCAGAUUAUUUUCUCCUCCAUCAGCUUUCUAUUCUCUCUCGUCUAUUCCCGGAACAAGAAUUUAUAUCAUGAACACAAGGCUCGCGCUAUAAACUUAUAUCCUCGUCCAAUAUUUUUCUUCAAAAUAUCUUAUUACUACUCGGCGCAACAAAAUACUUUAAUCUUAUCUUCAAAUUUCUAGAACAAAACAAGAGGGAGAAAUAUCGGAAUCGACGAAAUCGUGAUUAACAAUUGAACAAAAUACACAUAACGUGUAACAUUUCACUGAUCGUAUUGGAUAAUGCGGAACAACCAAGGAGCAUCUCUGAGGAGGAGGACCAAGCAUGGACGCAGACGUCCGGGUUUCGUGACAGGCGAGCCGUUCGUAAAACUUGGUUCGUUGUCGACGAAACCUGCACGAUCUGCUACCACGUCGACGAGUACGUCAACGACGCGUGCAUCGCGCAGUGGAAGUGCCUCGGUAGUUUUACACGCGCGUGUCGGGAAUAACGCGCACCGCUGAAAACCGCACGACGGGACCGUAACGCGUGAAACAUCGACGCGCAUUCGUCAUGCGAGAAGUGAGGCGAGUAAUGUACCGUAUCGCGGUGAAUAAAAUGAAUCCGAAAAUAUACACACAGGGUCUGCAUCGUGUACAACCGCGCGACAUUCACGAUGUGCACGCGCUUGGAAGGUAACACGGAACACUAACGAGAACGAAAUAUACCGAAACGAAAAGCAUGAUGAACAUUUUCUCAAAUAAAAGAAUACUCUUAAAAGUGCAUACAGAAUACAAUUGAGGAUAAUUCUUGUUUUACAGCAACGUUUUUCCAAACGAGAUUGUUAUCCCGCCCAAUUUUCGACGCAGCUGCGUGCAACAUUCUUUAACAAUUAGCCGUGCUUUAUACGUAUAUUUCCCCGUAAAUAUGGAUUUACAGUGCACUACGGAUGGAUAUAAAGAACAUUCCUUUCCAGGAUAACAGGAUAGCGAGGCUAUAAAAAUAAUAGCUUCGUAAUAUCAGGGCGAUAGUGCGCUUUGGUAAUUUUCAUCUACAAUCGUAAUGAUUAUGAGUGGCGCCUUAUUAUUUUCGGUCAAAAAUGAAUUUUCUAUAUUCUUCGAUAGUGAUCAAUACUGAAAAGCAUUUUCCUCAAGAUUGAAACGUAUUACGUGCUAACUCGUCGUUACCGUCGCGAUUAUGCCACGCUAAACGCUUUUGCGCGUAUAACUCAUAACUUGUUCGAUAAUACCACUUCAGAGUCACUUGAGAAUCAUGAUUUCAGGAUCGUGGAAACGGAUUAAUGUAAGCAGCUUGUCCUCGAAACUGGGUGAUGACAGUUGUCGACGCUGGGAGUAACGCACGAGCGAAGAAGAAAUCUCUCGAUUUAUCGGCGGCACUCAUCCGCCCCUGAAUCGCAUCGACAAUCUCGGCUGAUUCGGAAGUCUGCGACGCGGAAGGAAACAAGUAGAAAAAGACGACGGCGAUCGCGUCCUGGUGCGGGACGACGAGGCGAAGGAAAGCCUUGAUAUAUCCACCAAACACAAGGAGCUCGAACGCCUCGCCAGGAUUUAUCGGUACUACGGAUAAUGGAUGGCUCCGCGCAGCUAUCGGAGACGCCGCUUUUUUAAAUAAUACAAUGCAACGCACGCUAAAAAUUCUGGAUCCUCUCGCGUGCGGAACGAUAAUCGCGAAUACGCGAAUACAGCGGACGGAUAUAGCAGGAAGUGCCUCGAAGAACCGCAAGUUCUGUCUGUUAAGUAAAACCGCAUUUUACGAGGUUUACAGAUCGCUCUGCACAUCUUGAUGUCUAAUAGAUUUAUCAGGUAAUUGAUGCGAUAGCCGAACAAAUUAUCAUCGUUCCUGUGCACAUGAUAUUUCUGCAACUGCUACAUGCCGAACCGAGGCGAUUAUCUCAACGUAGAGACAUCAGUAUUACGGGAGUACGUAACGACGAAAAGGAACUCAAAGGAUUUCGGCGGAACGAGCUUCAGGUGUAGCACAGUGACGACAGCUUAACAGCUUUAACCAGCUUUAUAGAGUAAAUUUACCUCUAGAAAGCAGAUUUGCACUAAGAUUUAAGGAAGAAGAGCAGGGAGAAAGAGAGAGUGAGAGAGAUGGCCGGUGCAUCCUGAGGGAGGACGAACCGCGAGACAAAAACCGCGGGGGCACGGUCGUCGGAUUGGACGAUCCUACGCGGGAAUGUAUUUAAUUCGAUUGGCCUUUGCCGCCGCCACCGUCGGACUGAAACAAGGGUGAGGGCGAGAAGCGCGGAUACGGUCAGGGAGGGCUGGCCUUUAUCAGGGGUGAGAGAACCUCUGUUUCCGCCGGAAAUGAGGCCUUCGGCCCCGCGCCGCUCCGCACCAACGACCUACUCUCCCCGUCAGCGUUUCCUCCGCUCCAUCCUUCGUCGUCCUCACCCCAUCUCUGUCGCACCCUCGCCCGCUGUCGUCGUCGAGGAUGAAAAUCGUAUUUAUAUCCCAUCUCUCGCGCGCUCAGGUAAAUAUUACGAGCGAGUGUACGCACCUGCCGCUACGAGCUGUGACGUGCGAUAUCGGCGUACCCGAAAAAUCGGCGCUUUCGCCGCAACGUGACGUGCCCCAGUUGAGAUUAAAUGAAGAAUCUCGGUUUUCGGACGCGAAUUACGGACAUAGCAAUGUAACAAGAAAUUCGGGCGGCUAAAUCUGAGGCUAUUAGAUCUCAUCUAUUUUAUUAUAUUAAGACGUUAUUUCUAUUCUCGCUUUCUGGCAGUAGCGCGUAACGGUAAGUGACUUGAUUUUGAAGAGAUAAAUUAAUGAGAAUAAUGAUUAAAUGAUUAAAUAUUCUGAAUAAAAAUAGAUCCAGGUGUUAUCCGUAUGUUAUAAUGUGUGUAAAAAGUGAUUAUCAAUUAAAAGAAUUUAACUUAUAAUUGUGAAAUUUUUUGAGCAUUAUGAAUGUGAUUAAAUACUAUAGUUUUAUACGUCACAUACGCAAAUAAUACAGUUAAUGAAAAUGUAUGAGUAACGCUUACGAUACACAUAUGUUUUUCAGAAAAAUACAGCUGCGGAGUUAAUUAAAAACGAGGACAUUUACUGAUUAAAGUCUUUUGUCUCCAAUUAAAACUGAAAGUACCAUCAAUGUCGCGUAUCUCGCACAUCAAGUCAUCCUUUCAAUAUCCAAAGAAUUCAGACGGUUGAAUUCAUUCCGAGGGAUGAUUUCACGGAACGGUACUCGUUAAAAACAUUACUGUACUUCCUCAAACGCUUGCUCGGCAAGAGGAGCCUCUACUCACGAGCGUUAAUUAAUUCGAACUCUGACAUAAACCGAUAUAAAUCCAUCCAGUGAUCCGACUGAUCGUCCACCCACGGGUUAUUAGCUGCAUGCCUUCUUCGAAGGAGCAUGAGCACCACCUUCGUACACCUUCCCACGCCUAACUAUUCAUAAGCCUUCUUAGACAGACACGGUUGCUCUCUUCCUUUCUCUAUCUUUCUUUCUCUUUUUGUUUUUAUCUCACGCGCGAAUCCCCGAAUAAGACGUUCUGGAUCUAGACGGCAGACGGCAGAGAGUGAAAAUCGGGGUGGAAAGAGCUUACCAUCGCUCUCCUAGGCGGAUGUCGACCAGCUCUCUCGCCCCCUUUCACCUACCCCCCCCCCCCGCGAGAAGAUGUAAUUUUCGCUGUAUGCCCAGAUUAGAAGCCGACUCGUCGGAGUUACCUCUCCCCCCUUCCCCGGUUUUGCCCGCCUGAUAAGUAUUGCCUUCCGUGUGUCAGCCUCCCGCUGAAUGCUCUAGAACUGGAAAAGGGAUUCGCGAGAUGAUCUCGGAACGAUCGAUCGGCCUUACGACGUGACGUGACGUCACGGGACGAGGAUGGACGGCCCGUUAUAUCUCGUUAAGGAGCUACGUAUACGCGCACAUUGACACGGAUUUGUGGAAUCGAGCGUAAUGAAGACGUACGAACCGAACUGUGUAAAAUAGAAGUUAUUGCUAUUAAUAUGGCUUAAAGCCGAGCCCCCCAUUAUGAUCGUACCCGAUGUCUUCAUGUAAACGAAGCCGCAAAGAGUACGCAUUUAAAUUGUCAAGAAAAUUAAAAUAAAUUUCUGAAAUCUUGGGCGAGA